CAUUCUGGUAUACAGAAUGAGUAUGCAGAAUGUCUAGGAUGGCUUUAUGGCAGUCAUCUAGAUCUUGUUGAAGUCUGGGAUGCUGAAGAAGUCUCAUCGUCUGAGUUUCUCACCCUGUAAGGUUGAAGCAAGAUGGAAUGAUGGUGACUUUGCCAGAAAAGAAUGCUAUAUUGUGAAGUCUCCCUCUUCUGAUAACAAGUGACCCUGCUCCGUCUUUGUGUCAGGCAUGAUAACUGGCUUUUCGGCUUCAGGAAUGAAUAUGGACAACUUGAAGGAAGGCUUGCCAAGACCCCAGUGGAGCCUCAGAUGCAGCAGAUGAUGAAAAAUUUUACAGGAUUAUCCAUGUCCAGAACCUUUAACUGUGCUCUGAAGCUGCAGUUCAUGCCAGGUAACUGCAGAAGCGUGGUUAGCCCUCUGGGAAGAAGUCUUGCGUGAUGAAUGCAGUUUUCUGUCAAAAGUGUUGACUUAAGGAAACACAGAUGUGUCUUCUCUUGAAGGGGAACUAAGUAGCUGUGAAUUUCAUCCUGGCUCCCUCUGAUGGACUAACCAUUUUCUCCUUCUGAACCAACCAAACCAACCCCAAAUACCUGAAGUCUCAGCUUUUAUAAUACGAAGAGUUUGGGGAAGCCUGUACCUCACUUUCUUUAACUGGUUUCAACCCUCAACCUUUCAAAGAGCCAAUGCUAAUUGGUGGUGUCUUCCUGGAGUAUCCUUUUCUGAUAAACAUUAACUCGAAUGACCACUGAGUUCCCUGGUGAAAUUUCAACAUUAGACUGAUUUUCUUUCCAACUGUUGUUUGUAUAAUAAGUAGUUCUUGGAGACUUAGGCAAGAGUGCAAGAAUGGGCUUGAGCAGAUGUGCACCACCAUCAGUAGGAAACUGCUAACCUUGAAAGGCAUGUGUAUCUCUAAUAAGGAUGUCUUGUCUUAAUAAGCACUAUUAAAUGAUUAUUGCAUUACAACAAAGCAGAGAAAGAAAAGGGGAUAAGAUUCAAAUCUCUUUGGGUGAAAUGUAAAGUCAGAAAACCUGAUCCCAGCUCUUCCGUAGUCCGUGCUAUGCUGACCCAGAGAUUAAAGUAAGAGAAGUUGACCAGGUGCGGUGGCUCACGUCUAGCACUUUGGGAGGCCAAGACAG
Long non-coding RNA from Rhinopithecus roxellana (golden snub-nosed monkey), 1133 nucleotides. RefSeq lists it as uncharacterized. Lineage: Eukaryota; Metazoa; Chordata; Mammalia; Primates; Cercopithecidae. The transcript has 4 exons. The record is from RefSeq and is a predicted model, not a curated record.